Molecule: ribosomal RNA, 647 nt
Filed under: uncultured bacterium
Lineage: Bacteria
Description: bacterial SSU rRNA
Rfam family: Bacterial small subunit ribosomal RNA
Source: RNAcentral
CGCGGCCUAUCAGCUUGUUGGUGGGGUAAUGGCCUACCAAGGCGACGACGGGUAGCCGGCCUGAGAGGGUGUACGGCCACAUUGGGACUGAGACACGGCCCAGACUCCUACGGGAGGCAGCAGUGGGGAAUAUUGCACAAUGGGCGCAAGCCUGAUGCAGCGACGCCGCGUGGGGGAUGACGGCCUUCGGGUUGUAAACUCCUUUCGCUAGGGAAGAAGCCUUUUGGUGACGGUACCUGGAUAAGAAGCACCGGCUAACUACGUGCCAGCAGCCGCGGUAAUACGUAGGGUGCGAGCGUUGUCCGGAAUUACUGGGCGUAAAGAGCUCGUAGGUGGUUUGUCGCGUCGUCUGUGAAAUCCCGGGGCUUAACUUCGGGCGUGCAGGCGAUACGGGCAUAACUAGAGUGCUGUAGGGGAGACUGGAAUUCCUGGUGUAGCGGUGAAAUGCGCAGAUAUCAGGAGGAACACCGAUGGCGAAGGCAGGUCUCUGGGCAGUUACUGACGCUGAGGAGCGAAAGCAUGGGUAGCGAACAGGAUUAGAUACCCUGGUAGUCCAUGCCGUAAACGGUGGGCGCUAGGUGUGGGGGUUUUAUUUACGAUUCCCGUGCCGUAGCUAACGCAUUAAGCGCCCCGCCUGGGGAGUACGG